GCCAGGCGUGGUGGCACAUGCCUGUAAUCCCACCUACUUGGGAGGCCGAAGUGGGAGGAUCGCUUGAGCCCAGGAGUUCUGAACUAUAGUGUGCUAUGCUGAUCGGGUGUCUGCACUAAGUUCGGCAUCAAUAUGGUGACCUCCCGGGAGCGGGGACCAUCAGGUUGCCAAAGGAGGGGUGAACUGGCCCAGGUCAGAAACGGAGCAAGUCAAAACUCCUGUGCUGAUCAGCAGUGGGAUCACGCCUGUGAAGAGCCACUGCAUCUCACUCCAGCCUGGGCAACAUAGCCAGACCGCGUCUCU
RNAcentral lists this signal recognition particle RNA (303 nucleotides) under Saimiri boliviensis boliviensis (Bolivian squirrel monkey). RNAcentral describes it as "Metazoan signal recognition particle RNA (ENSSBOG00000008171.1)". It matches the Rfam family "Metazoan signal recognition particle RNA". Rfam says of the family: The signal recognition particle (SRP) is a universally conserved ribonucleoprotein. It is involved in the co-translational targeting of proteins to membranes. The eukaryotic SRP consists of a 300-nucleotide 7S RNA and six proteins: SRPs 72, 68, 54, 19, 14, and 9. Lineage: Eukaryota; Metazoa; Chordata; Mammalia; Primates; Cebidae. The record is from RNAcentral.